GAGCUGCAUGACAUUUCUUUUCCUAAUUAUCACACAAACUCAACUGUAGUGAAAAUUUUGAAUAUAUAUGAAGAAUGUUUUUUUUGUAAUUUUUGACUCAUUUACCAAACCUACCAAAAGUAUUCAAAUCUUUUUGUGGCAGGUGCAUUAGGCUUAAAACAGACUAAAAUUUUGUUUUAUAUAGAUAGCUAUAGAUAUUUCUCUCUUUUUUUUGAGACAGGAUUUCAUUAUGCAGUGCAGGCUGGCCUUGAACUCAUUUUGUAUUAUAGGCUGGACUCAAACUUUUAAUAAGCCUACUGCCUCAGCAUCCUGAGUGCUAGGAUUAUAGCUGUGCACCACCAUGCCCAGCAUAAGAGUUGAUUUGUUUACUUAAUAUAGUAAAUUCCCUAAAACCUUCCUGAAUGUUAUAAAAAAAUUUUGUUUUGGAUGUUGCUGGGAAUUUAGCCCAGAGCCUUGCACAUAUUAGGUAAGUGCCCUCUAUUGAGCUAUAUCCCCAGACUUACCAUUUCUCAUUGAAGUUUGCUAAUUUAAUAGGGUAUAGGGGCACAUGACAGUAGUACUAGCUAUUUGGGAGGCUGAGAUGUGGGAUUUUGAGUUUCAGGUUAAUCUGGGUAACACCAAUAAACUGAAAACACAUAUGCUUAUAUACCCUUCACUACAUAGUCUCUUUGGUUUAAAUGUAAAAUAAUUCAGCCAGAUGUGGAUGUCUGACCUGGGAUUAGAGAGGGAAAUCUUUUCAGAAACCUAUCUGUGGAAGAUAAUAUAUCUCUCAUGAUGAGUAUGAAUUGCAAUGUUGUUUACUCUGCUUGGUGUGAAGUCCAGAUUCUUUGUAUUAGUAUAAGAUCUGUGUCAUAUUCAGAAAAAAAUAUAAGAGAGAGUAAUCUUUUAUGCUCAGCCAAGUCUUAGUCACUUUUCUUGUCACAGAGACACAAUACCCAGCACUCAUAACUUAAGGAAGGAGAGGUUAAUUUUGACUUAUGGUUCAGUCCAUAGUCCACUGGCUAAAGGUAGAAUAGGAUGGCAGAGUGGCAUAAUGAAGGAAAGUUGUUCAUGUCAGGGUGGUAAGAAAGCAGGGAAAGAAAGAAGGGAGGAGCUGGAAAGGGAUAUGUACCCUUCCAUGUAAUGCCUUCAGUGAGUCCACCUCAUCUGACCAGGCCUGACCUCCCAACAGCAAGUCAACUAUAGUGCCCCCAUAAUUCAGUCACCUUCCCAAAGCCCUGCUAUAGAGCAUGAGGCCUUUGGAGGACAUUUUUGUUUUGUCUCGUUAAUUUAUUUUUGGCUUUUUGAGGUAGGGUUUUGUUCUGCAGUUCAGGCUAGCCUUGAACUCACUGUGAUGCCUAGGUUGGCUCAACCUCUCAGUGUUCCCCUGUCUCAGCCUCUCAAUAUUGGGAUUAUAGGUGUGCACCACCAUGCUUGGCUGGAGGAUAUUCUUGAUCUAAACCAUAGCACAGGGUAUGGAAUGCUGUUUUAGUUUCUUUUUAUUAUUGCUGAGUCAAAAUACUCAACAUUGAAAGUUAAAGGAAAGAUUUAUUUAGCUCACAAUUUGUAAUGGUUUUAGUUCACAGUUGGCUGGCUUCAAUGCAGGGUGACAUGGUAGAAAGGCAUUGCAGAGGAGAAACUGUUAAUAGUGAGCAGUAGGCAGCAAAGUAGUGAAAAACCAAAGCCGGAAGCAACAAGUGAAGGCGGCAGCUCUCUUUUUUGUCCCUUUAAUCCACGCUACACACCCUUAGGGCAGGUAGCCCUUAUACCCAGGUGGGCCUUCCCAUUUUCCAUGCCCAGAACUAUGCCUAACCAAUCAGUGGACUAAUGUAGUAACCAUACACCCUUAAUCCCAGUAUCACACACUUUAGAUCCAGAGUGUGUGGAAAAGCCCCACCUGUGCCUGCAUGAAGCUUUGGCACAUAAGCCAUAAUGUUGUCAUCAGCUUUAAGGGUAAAAACAAAGAUCAUUUUUUAUUACCUUUUUGAUGUAUAAUUGACAUAAUUAAUUACAUGUCUUUUUUUGUGUGUGUGUGUGUGUUUGUGUUUGUGUGGCACUGGAAUUAAACUCAAGGUCUUUGCAUCAAGCUAUAUUCCUGGCCCUUUUUGAAGGUUUUUUUUGGUACUGGGGAUCCAACUUACUACCAUGUGCUUGCAAGGCAGGCACUUAUGCCACUGAGCUAAAUUCCCAGCCCUGCUUUUUGAAUUUUUAAAAUUUCUAAACAGUCUUGCUGAGUUGCCCAAGUGUUGCUCAAAUUUUGAAUCCUCCUGUUUCAGCCAUCUACAGUAUUGGAAUUACAGGUGUGCAAAACCAUACCUAACUUCAAAUACAUACACAUAUAAUUUGAUAAAUUUCAACAUGUGUACCUAUGAAACUGUCACCAUAAUCAAGAAAAUGAACACCUGUGUCAUUGCUUUCUCCCUCCCUAUGUAGCCACUGUAGAUUAUAUUUUUGAGAAUUUAGAGAAAUAGAAUCAUUCAGUAUGUACUCUGUUUGUAUAAAUUAUUGCAAUUAGCAUAAUUAUUUUGAGAGUUGUCAUAGGAUGCAUCAGUAGUUUACUUCUUUGUUGUUGUGCAUCAGUAUUUUGUCAAGCAGACAUGUAGUGUUUAUCCCCUAACCUAUUGGGUGUGCAGUGGUGUAAAUACUUUAAUGUAAGGCUUUGCAUUGGUGGAUACUUUUACUUAUAUUGGGCAAAUACCUAGAAGUUGAAAGGUUCUGUUGUAGGUGUUAUGUUCCACUACCAGUUUUGCAAAGAGCCUGUAUUUUUCCACAUUGCCACCAAAGUAUAUGAAGUUUCUUGUUCCUCUGUAUCCUUGCCAACACUUGUAUGGGCACUCCUUUUAAUUUUAGCCAUUCUAGUAGAUACUGGUAUGUGCUUUUUAUUGGUGUUUCCUUAAUAGUGUUAAGCAUCUUGUUAUAUGUUUAUUUGCUACUUGUGUAUCUUUUUUUUGUUUUAUUCUUUCGAAGAAGGGUUUCACUAUGCAAUUCAGGUUGACCUUGAACUUUGUAGACCAGAAUGGCCUCAAACUUACAUCGUUUUUUAAAAAGUUAGUUUGCUUUCUUACUGUGUUUUGAGAGUUUUUUUAAAAUAUAUUUGAGAUACAUAUCCUUUAUUAGAUAAAAAAUUUUUUAAGUCUUGGUUUUCGAGUUGAUUGGCUAAUAAUAUUCUCUUAAAAGUAUCUUUUCAGCAAGGUGUGGUAGCACAUACCUCUAAUUCCAGCUCUCUGGGAGGCUGAGGCAGGAGAAUGGCAGGUUGGAACUCAGCUGGGCAAUUUAGUGACAUAGUAAGACACUGUCUCAAAAUAAAAACAGAUAGAUAGAUAGAUAAGGCUGGGAAUGUAGUUUAGUUUGAAUGCCCUGGGUUUAACGCCCAGAACCACUAUAGACAAACCAACAAAAGCACUCCCCCCCGCCCCCACCAAAAAAAAAAAACCCUAGAAAUGUAUUUUGUUUGUUUGUUAAAGAGGUGGAGAUCUUGCUAUAUUGCCCAGUCUGUCUUGAAAUUCCUGGGCUAAAGUGAUUUUGCCUCAGCCUCCCAAGUAGCAGUUACUAUAGGCACUACACUCAGCCUAAGCACUUUUUUAGUUUUAUGUUUUACAUAUAGCUCUGUGAUCCAUUUUGAGUUAAUUUUGUAUAUGGUGCAAAAUACAAGUUGAAGUUCAUUUUUGAAUAUGUACAUUUGAUUGUUUCUGUGUCAUUUGUUAAAAUGACUAUUCUUUCUCUACUUAUUCUUGUAACAGGUAUCAGUUGUCUAUAAAUAGAUGAGCUUGUUUCUAGACUCUGUAUUUUUAUAUUAAAAGUCUUGAAAUCUGGUAAUAUUAAUCUUCUAACUUUGUAUUGGCUAUAUUUUGGUGCUUGACAUUCUCUUUAUAAGUUUUUUCUUUUUAGUUUUUUUUUUUGUACUGGGGAUCGAACUCACUACCUCGCGCUUGCAAGGCAGGCGCUUAUGCCGCUGAGCUAAAUCCUUGGCAUUCUCAUGAAUCGAAUUUAUGAUGUUUUGCUUGUCAGGCAAGUACUUAACGUCGCUCAGCUAAAUCCUCAGCCCCUAUAGUUUUCCAUUUUUUUAAUGUAUUUGUGUUUGUAUGUGGGGGGGGGGCAUGUACUAAUGAUCAAACCAAAGGCCUUGUGCCUGCUAAGCAAGCCCUCUACCACUAAGAUACACUCCCAAAUCUUGUUUUUCUUUAUCUUUAAAAUUUGUUGUUAGGUUUUACAUAGUUUUAACAAAAUAUAAUCUAUCUUUGCCUUUUAGUUGAUAUAUUGGAUAAAGUUUUAUAAAUGGUCACAUUUGCAUUUAUCUCAAGCUACAUGUUGGUUAUAUUUUUGCUUCACAUGUUUUGCAGGACUACCACCCAGUUCCUUCCUAGGUAAACUAGACUUAAAGCAAAUGGAAAAGAGAUACAGGGGGGCAUAGUGAUGCCAUGUCUAUAAUCCCAGCACUUGAGAGGCCAAGGCAGGAGAGUGCUAAGUUCAAAGCCAGCCUGAACUACAGUGAGACCUUGUUAAAAGAGAGAGAGACAAUUAAAAUAGCUUAAAAAAUCUGUUAGGGAAUGAUAUAUGUAACUUCUGCUUUACAUUUUAUUGACUAAAGUAAAUCAGAUGACCAAACCUUUUAUUAGUGAGGCAAGAUAGUACCAAGGGGAAAAAAUUAUUAUUUCAACCCCACCCCCACCCUCACCCCUUGAGACAGGAUCUGACUAGCCUUGAAGUCAAAAGUAAUCUAUUCCUGCUUUAGGCUUCUAAGUACUGGGAUUCUAGGCUUGUGCCACAAUACCCAGCAGAAUUCACCCUUCAAAGAGUACAAUUUAGUCAUUGUUAGUAUAUUCACAAAGUUUACAAUCAUUAGGACUAGUCCAAUUUGAGAACAUUUUUCCGAAAAGAAACUGUUCCCAUUUGGGGAUGGCGAUAUGUAAUGUAUGUACUGUUGUUCACCCCGAUUGUCAUGUUUAGAAAUUUUAUUUUAUUUUUUUCUUUGGAAUAAAAUGGAUUUGAGAAAGAAAGAAAGAAUGAACGAAAGAAAGAGCGGUCCCAUUAGCCUGUAUUUCAUCCUUCCAGUCACUGAUUCACUUUCUGUUUCUAUGGAUUAUGAGCAUUUCAGUCAUAUAAUAGGUGGUCUAUUAUGACAGGCCUCUUUCACCUACCUUAAUGUUUUUAAGAUUUUUUGUAGAAAAUAAAUUAUUUGUGUUUAAUAUGACUGUUAGACUAUAUUUAAGUGUUUUCUUGUUCUUUAAUCUGUUCUUCCUUCAACUAUACUGCUUUCUUAUUCCUUAAUUAAAUAUUUUUUAAAAAUAAAGAUUUUUUUUUUUGGUCUUUUUCCUUUUUUUUGGUACCGGGGAUUGAACUCACGACUGCCUGCUUGCAAGGCAGGUGCUUAUGCCACUGAGCUAAACCUCCAGCCCCCUGUUCUGAUUUUUUUUGAGACAGGAUCUUGCUAGCUUGUAGUUCAGGCUGGCCCUGAAUUCACUAUGUAGUCUGGGCUGUCCUUGAACUUGCAGUGAUCCAUCCUCCUGCCUCAACCUCCUAAGUGCUGGGACUGCAGGUAUGUACCACCAUAUCUGGCUCUUAAUUAAAUAUUUUUAUAAUUAUAUUUUAUCUUCUUUGUUGAUUUUUCUGAGCUAUAACUGGUACACUAGUGAUUGCAUUAAGGCUUAUAGCAUUCAACUUUAACUAAUACUAUUUUGCAUGUAGUAAAGAACCUUAGAAUGGUACACUUCUAUUUUUCCUUCCCAAUCUUCAUUCUAGUUUUGUCAUCUAUUUUAAUAUAUAUAUAUAUAUAUAUAUAUAUAUAUAUAUAUAUAUAAUAAACUCUGUAUUGUAUUUGCUUCAACAAUUAUCUUUUUAAAUUAUAUUGAAACAAAAAAAAAGCCAGGUAUAAGUCAGGCAUGGUGAUAUAUGCCUAUAAUCUCGGCACUGGGAGCCUGAGGCAGAAAGAUACCCUUGAGUUUUGAGAUGAGAUAAGCCUCAACUGCAUAGUGAGACCCUGUCUCAAAAAACUAAAAAAAAUUUAAAAAUCCACCAAAAAUAAACAGACAGAACCCCCCAAAACAAAGAAA
Molecule: long non-coding RNA, 6029 nt
Organism: Cavia porcellus (domestic guinea pig)
Lineage: Eukaryota; Metazoa; Chordata; Mammalia; Rodentia; Caviidae
Exons: 2
Source: RefSeq, a predicted model, not a curated record